Molecule: ribosomal RNA, 368 nt
Filed under: uncultured organism
Description: bacterial LSU rRNA
Rfam family: Bacterial large subunit ribosomal RNA
Source: RNAcentral
CUUUACUGUAGCUUGGAAUUGGGUUCGGGCUUUGCUUGCGCAGGAUAGGUGGGAGACUGAGAAGUGUGCCUUGUGGGGCACAUAGAGUCAACGGUGAGAUACCACUCUGUCAGAGCUAGAAUUCUAACCUUCACCCGUGAUCCGGGGAAGGAACCGUAUCAGGUGGGCAGUUUGACUGGGGCGGUCGCCUCCUAAAAGGUAACGGAGGCGCGCAAAGGUGUUCUCAGGCUGGUUGGAAAUCAGCCGUAGAGUGUAAAGGCAGAAGAACGCUUGACUGUGAGAGUGACAACUCAAGCAGGGUGGAAACACGGCCUUAGUGAUCCGACGGUAUGCGCGUGGAAGUGCCGUCGCUCAACGGAUAAAAGUUG